GCGAGUCACAUAGCAAUAUGUGGCAUACGGCUCAGUAACACGUAGUCAACAUGCCCAGGGGACGUGGAUAACCUCGGGAAACUGAGGAUAAACCGCGAUAGGUCAUCACUUCUGGAAUGGGUAAUGACUUAAACCUAUAUGGCCCCUGGAUUGGACUGCGGCCGAUCAGGCUGUUGGUGAGGUAAUGGCCCACCAAACCUGUAACCGGUACGGGCUCUGAGAGGAGGAGCCCGGAGAUGGGCACUGAGACAAGGGCCCAGGCCCUAUGGGGCGCAGCAGGCGCGAAACCUCUGCAAUAGGCGAAAGCUUGACAGGGUUACUCUGAGUGAUUUCCGUUAAGGAGAUCUUUUGGCACCUCUAAAAAUGGUGCAGAAUAAGGGGUGGGCAAGUCUGGUGUCAGCCGCCGCGGUAAUACCAGCACCCCGAGUGGUCGGGACGUUUAUUGGGCCUAAAGCAUCCGUAUCCGGUUCUACAAGUCUUCCGUUAAAUCCACCUGCUUAACAGAUGGGCUGCGGAAGAUACUAUAGAGCUAGGAGGCGGGAGAGGCAAGCGGUAC
Molecule: ribosomal RNA, 556 nt
Filed under: uncultured archaeon
Lineage: Archaea
Description: bacterial SSU rRNA
Rfam family: Archaeal small subunit ribosomal RNA
Source: RNAcentral